UAUAUAUAUAUAGAGAGAGAGAGAGAGAGUGAGAGUGAGAGAGAGUUGAGCUAGAAUACUCUCAAAAGCACUAAGAUGGUGGUGCUUUUGAGUUUUUAGCCAUUGGAUGGAGAGAUGUAAGGUUGGGAUGAUGGUGGUAGGCGGUGGUAGGUGGAAUAGUGUUUAAUCCAAGGGCUAUUAGUAAUCAAGGAGUAGGUGGUGGUAGGUUGGAUGAGUGGGUGGAAUAGUGUUUAAUCCAAGGGCUAUUAGUAAUCAAGGAGUAGGUGGUGGUAGGUUGGAUGAGUGGGUGGAAUAGUGUUUAAUCCAACCUCUUGGUUCUUCUAAAAGUAUUCUAACUCAAUUCUAUAUAUAUAUAUAUAGAGAGAGAGAGAGAGAGAGAGAGUAGGACUGCUGUGCUCUCAGGAGCACGGCGGCCUCCGUGCUCCUGAGCCGUUUUCGAUGAUAGAAUUUCCGAAUCGACGAUCGGCUCCGUUAGACUUGAUCUAGCGUAUUUGAAGUUUUUAGAAAAUAAUUUUUGCGAUUUUUCGAUAUCAUUACCUAGUAAUCGAAAGGAUUCAAAAUCAAUAAUUUUAACGGCUAAAAAUAAAAAUCCUAUAAAAAGUGGUAAUAUAGCACUAAAAUUUUCGAUCAGAAAUAUUGAUCUUGCUGUAUAUAUUUUAAAGAAUUUUGUAUCAAAAUUUCAUCUGAUUUGAAUACUUCUAUACUGUUAAACUUGAAAACGGCAGAUAUCAACCAUUAAAAAUUAUUGAUUUUGAAUCCUUUCGAUCAC
RNAcentral lists this long non-coding RNA (769 nucleotides) under Ananas comosus (pineapple). Its description in RNAcentral is "long non-coding RNA (ACOM_LNC041658)". The record is from RNAcentral. Lineage: Eukaryota; Viridiplantae; Streptophyta; Magnoliopsida; Poales; Bromeliaceae.